CGGGCGUUGAGUAUAUGCAUCUUCUCCUGAACAGAUCAAUAUACCCAAGGCUCGGA
Molecule: microRNA precursor, 56 nt
Filed under: Heligmosomoides polygyrus
Lineage: Eukaryota; Metazoa; Nematoda; Chromadorea; Rhabditida; Heligmosomidae
Description: microRNA hpo-mir-5948 precursor
Source: miRBase by way of RNAcentral